GGCCAGGGAGGUGGUUCUGACCCACUCAGGGAGCCAGAUCCUGCUGGAACACGAGGAGUUUGCUCUGGGACACACGGAAUGCUGAGCCCCUGGAUCCAGCUGUUUGCACUUCCUUUGGAAUACAGCAGCAACCUGCCCACAGUGCUCUGAGCUGGAGUCAGUCCCUGCCUGGGCACCAGCACAGCUACAGGAAUAGUUAAGCAUUGGAAUAGCCCGUGUGUGAUGACAGAUGCCACCAUCCAUGGAGACCUGCAAGGACAAGGAGC
Long non-coding RNA from Pipra filicauda (Wire-tailed manakin), 266 nucleotides. RefSeq lists it as uncharacterized. NCBI's taxonomy places the organism in Eukaryota, Metazoa, Chordata, Aves, Passeriformes, Pipridae. The record is from RefSeq and is a predicted model, not a curated record. The transcript has 3 exons.